CAGCCGCCACGGGAAUACGAAGGGUGCAAGCGUUAAUCGGAAUUACUGGGCGUAAAGCGUGCGUAGGCGGUGGGUUAAGUCUGCUGUGAAAUCCCCGGGCUCAACCUGGGAAUGGCAGUGGAUACUGGCUCGCUAGAGUGUGUCAGAGGAUGGUGGAAUUCCCGGUGUAGCGGUGAAAUGCGUAGAGAUCGGGAGGAACAUCAGUGGCGAAGGCGGCCAUCUGGGACAACACUGACGCUGAGGCACGAAAGCGUGGGGAGCAAACAGGAUUAGAUACCCGCGUAGUCCCUGUCUCUUAUAC
Molecule: ribosomal RNA, 301 nt
Filed under: uncultured bacterium
Lineage: Bacteria
Description: partial 16S ribosomal RNA
Rfam family: Bacterial small subunit ribosomal RNA
Source: RNAcentral